This 519-nucleotide ribosomal RNA is filed under the name uncultured bacterium. RNAcentral's name for it is "bacterial SSU rRNA". It matches the Rfam family "Bacterial small subunit ribosomal RNA", at positions 870 to 1404 of the family's 1533-position model. The record is from RNAcentral.
CACCUGGGAGUACGACGCAAGGUUGAACUCAAAGGAAUUGACGGGGCCGCACAAGCAGUGGAGUAUGUGGUUUAAUUCGAAGCAACGCGAAGAACCUUACCAGGUCUUGACAUCGGAUGCAUAUCUAAGAGAUUAGAGAAGUCCUUCGGGACAUCCAGACAGGUGGUGCAUGGUUGUCGUCAGCUCGUGUCGUGAGAUGUUGGGUUAAGUCCCGCAACGAGCGCAACCCUUAUUACUAGUUACUACGCAAGAGGACUCUAGUGAGACUGCCGUUGACAAAACGGAGGAAGGUGGGGAUGACGUCAAAUCAUCAUGCCCCUUAUGACCUGGGCUACACACGUACUACAAUGGCGAUCAACAGAGGGAAGCAAAGCGGUGACGCAGAGCAAACCCCUAAAAAUCGUCCCAGUUCAGAUUGCAGGCUGCAACUCGCCUGCAUGAAGGCGGAAUUGCUAGUAAUCGCGGAUCAGCAUGCCGCGGUGAAUACGUUCCCGGGCCUUGUACACGUCGACGCGGCCG